This 1810-nucleotide long non-coding RNA is filed under the name Sparus aurata (gilthead seabream). Its description in RNAcentral is "lncRNA (ENSSAUG00010002245.1)". The record is from RNAcentral. Lineage: Eukaryota; Metazoa; Chordata; Actinopteri; Spariformes; Sparidae.
AUGGGACACGCCGAGACAGGUGACUGGACAAGGUGUAUCAGAGGCUUUGUUGUCAGCAUGGCAUGGCGACGGCGGCGGACAACAGAGAGGCCCUCUCUGUCGGGCAGCAGCCUCCUCUACUCAUCAGCAUUCUGUGCCUUGAGGACACCUGCGUCCCUGGAGAGCCUGUCCAUGAUGUGGGUAGAGUGGCAGUGUUUAUCUGCUGUUACAUGGCUGAGGUAGAUCAAAUGAUCAGCCCUGCUAUGGCUCACUGAGCUUGCACAUCACAAUAUUGGUAAUGACAAUAAACUGCUAAAGCAUGUAGUCCCCAAAGCAGAGUGCGCACGAGUCUUAUAGGAAGGCAUUAAGUGGCGGGGGGAGAGAAAAGUAGUAAAUAAAUGAAAAAGAAACCGCCCCCGACAACCCUGAUUUGGAAAGAUGAUAUUUGCACCCUCUGAAGCUGAAAUCUUCACAGUUGCUGCAAAACUGUCGUUAGUGCACAAGCUUGAAGAUGCUUCGAAGGUGAAAAUAAAGUUUUUUUUAAGUCAGUUUGAGAACUCUGGGCUUCUGGAGACUUGAGUUACACCAGGCAAGCUUUAUGGAGUCAUUUUAUUUUUUCUGUGUUUCAAACAAGUUCUAUGUGUUUGCGGCAGCAUUUUUUUUGGCUGUGAAGCUCUAGAAUGUUUUGUAGACUAUGAAAACUUCACCUGACUUUCCAUCAGCAUGGGGAUGAGGGGACAAUGACAGAAUUUUCAUUUUUGGGCGAACUUUGCCUCUAAAGUAAUUAGCCGCACAAAGAUAAUUCGAAUCUUAUUUCUUAUUUGAAAAUCUAAAUUUCAUGUUAGUUCUCUUAUAUAAUUCUGUUUUUAACUGUUUUUUUCAUGAUUUUCCCAUAAUCCAAACACUGGUGGAACUUGACAGUACGAUGCGAGUCAAAUCAAAAAAACACAAGAUCUCAAAAUAUGGAUACAGUAUAACCCGCAGAAGCACAUUUCUUUUUUUCACAAAGAAACGGUCAAUGAAAGAUUGCAGAAGCUAGCUGAGCAGUGAUCCGGCUCUUUAUAGUGUAAAAAUACAUAAUGUACGUAUACAUUUUGUUUUGCUGCUCAUAAAUGAUAAAAACAAUCAGUUAUUACUACUUUAAAUAAAAGCAAAUACAGCUUUUACUAAAAUUCAGAAAGAAAGUGAUGAAAUUAAAAUUAACCUACACAUUAGGAAACAUUAGCAUAGAUUGCUAACUCUGAACUUUUGCGUGUUGGUGUCGUUCCUAGAAAGUCAUACUUAAUGUCGCCCCAGGACCAUUGUUGUAACUGACCAAUCACGUUUUUUGUAACGUCAUAGCUUUGCGACCCCCGAGAAAGACUGGAAAAAUACACGAAUGUGAGAAGAAACUGUUCCGAAACGCACGGUUAACAUUGUGAAAAGGUGCAUUCUAAUGCAAAUCAUCUUCUCCUAGAAGCACUUUUGUUAACUUAACCUUACCAAACUGUAACAUAAUUUUGCUCCACACUUGACACAAACCCUGCAGCUUCCUAAGUGAGAGUCUUGUGUUUAACCCAUUCUGCCACAACAGAAUGGGUUAAUGUGGUUGAGUAAAGUUGCCAUUCAGACAAUGUUGACAUAAGCAUGACACGAUAUAAACGGUCAAUGAUGAGAUAUCUGCCUGUGCUGCUGUGAAUGGUGUAACCUCAGGGCACAUAAAGAAGCCUACGUGGUGAAAAUGAUUUUAAGGGGCUGAUUUUCCGUGACUAAAGAAUGGUGAGUAAGCUGCUAAUGAUGUGUUGGGACUUGGGUUUGUAAAAGCUGGUAUGGUGUGCUAAUGAUGAGCCAG